This 701-nucleotide long non-coding RNA is filed under the name Octopus sinensis (East Asian common octopus). Its description in RNAcentral is "uncharacterized LOC118768175, transcript variant X1". Lineage: Eukaryota; Metazoa; Mollusca; Cephalopoda; Octopoda; Octopodidae. The record is from RNAcentral.
UGCAUGGAAAUUAUUAUUAUUUUUUUUUGUAAUUUUUUUCUUUUCCUUUACACUUUCUCACUGUUUCUUCUUGGAAAAUUGCAUGCUUCAAAAGAUGGGCACUCUGGCAAACAUGCACGCAUUCAUUCAGGCGUUCACUCACAUACUUACAAAACAGAGAUGGACGGACACCAAGAGACGGAGAGACAGACAAAAAGGCAUGCAGGAAGGCAGUUUAGGCAGGUAAAAGUCGUAGGCAGGUAAGGUAUGUAAGCAGGUGAGGCCAGAAUGUAUUUCGACCGGACGUACGCGUGUGAACCCAGUGGGGAAAAGUUGGGCCGAUGUCACAUGGGUAACGUUGGUCGAGAGAGAACGGGCGAGAAAAAAAAAAAAGGGGCCUCGAGUGUACCUCAACGACACAUAUACAGCGUUACAGCAGAUUUAUUGCGGACAGACAUGAAACGGUCGGAAUACAGGACAGAUUAACGGAUACAUAGGACAUAUAAAGAGAGAGAGAGAGAGAUAUAGAUAUACACACAGAGACAGACAGAUAAUCCCUCCUACUCUUCUUCUUGGUCUUCCUCUUCCUCCUCCUCUCACCGAUUCCUUUCUGUGUCCAGAGUUUAAGGAAAGAAGUUGAAAUAAUGGAAAAUGCCUGGGUACCAACUGGAAAGUGUGAUCCAUGUUUGUCUGUGUGUGUGUGUGUGUGUGUGUGUGUGUGU